GCUUCCGUGGUCUGGUGGUCUGACAUCUGCGCGUUCUGAGUAAAUCAUUUUCGCAGACGAUAGGGGUUCGAAUCCCUGCGGAGGCU
This is a non-coding RNA of Mycena polygramma, 86 nucleotides long. The record is from the annotation of a GenBank genome assembly. Lineage: Eukaryota; Fungi; Basidiomycota; Agaricomycetes; Agaricales; Mycenaceae.